CUGAUCAUGGACUGGAACCUCUGAAACCCAGAGCCCAAAUAGACCUUUCUCUUAAAGCUGUUUGUCUCUCAUAUUUAGUACAGUGAUGGAAAGCUGACUUACACAGUGAUGUUCAGGUACAGGAACAGAAAAUGGAUUAAGACAGGAGAGUCUAGUAUUUAACCACCCAAGGCCAACAGAUGGUAUCCAGGCGCUAAAUCAAGAAAGGUGGAAGUGGAAGUCACAGAUGGAAUAAUGUAAACAGAGGAAUAACCCAAUCUGCAGAAAAAAGUCCGAAGAAAAUAUGAGUAUAUUUAAACUCAGGGUCAGAAAGACCUUUUACAAGGGGGCUGUGUCCCUUCUCCCUGAAUCCAGCUGGAUGGUGGGAGCUUUGAUCACUGAGCAUGAGACGAUAACACUGUGCCUGCUCAGAGGCCUGGCAGGACACACAGGGCUGCUGGAUCCCUGAGCUGCCUGGGAGAGGCCACUCUCACCUGCUGGGGAUCCUGUAGCUGCAGGAGCCAGAGAAAGACCCAGUGAACCUGACUUCCAGCAUGAGCCUGGUGCAGCAGGGCC
Fukomys damarensis (Damara mole-rat) is the source of this 555-nucleotide long non-coding RNA. RefSeq lists it as uncharacterized. NCBI's taxonomy places the organism in Eukaryota, Metazoa, Chordata, Mammalia, Rodentia, Bathyergidae. The record is from RefSeq and is a predicted model, not a curated record. The transcript is spliced from 3 exons.